This 394-nucleotide ribosomal RNA is filed under the name uncultured bacterium. RNAcentral's name for it is "partial 16S ribosomal RNA". It matches the Rfam family "Bacterial small subunit ribosomal RNA", at positions 338 to 729 of the family's 1533-position model. The record is from RNAcentral.
CCUACGGGAGGCAGCAGUGAGGAAUAUUGGUCAAUGGGCGCAAGCCUGAACCAGCCAAGCCGCGUGAAGGAAGACUGCUCUAUGGGUUGUAAACUUCUUUUGUAGGGGAGUAAAUGCAGGUACGUGUCUCUUUUGGCAGUUACCUUAUGAAUACGGAUCGGCUAACUCCGCGCCAGCAGCCCCGGUAAUACGGAGGGUCGGAGCGUUAUCCGGAUUUAUUGGGUUUAAAGGGAGCGUAGCCGGGUUGUUAAGUUAGAUGUGAAAGCUGGGGGCUCAACCCCAAAAUUGCAUCUGAUACUGGGGGACUUGAGGGUAGUUGAGGUAGGCGGAAUGCGUGGUGUAGCGGUGAAAUGCGUAGAUAUCAGGAAGAACACCGAUUGCGAAGGCAGCUUAC